Homalodisca vitripennis (glassy-winged sharpshooter) is the source of this 573-nucleotide long non-coding RNA. RefSeq lists it as uncharacterized. The transcript has 3 exons. The record is from RefSeq and is a predicted model, not a curated record. NCBI's taxonomy places the organism in Eukaryota, Metazoa, Arthropoda, Insecta, Hemiptera, Cicadellidae.
UAGUCAGGCUAGAUAACCAGCAGCUGCGUGCGUGCUGAUGACGUCAUCCUACGCUACAGUAUAUAAGUGAGGUGAUAACACAGUCUGGCAGACAACACUGGUCACUGCUCUAGUGAUAACAGCUCACACUCACUCUCACGUAUCUCGGCAUUUAGUCAAAAUGACACUGAGCAUGUCAACUCGGCUGGUGCGUGGCGGCAGCGCUGUACAGCGUACUUACUGGCGGGCUUCUCCCUCCAGCAACAGCUCCCCUAAACUUGUCAAACACGGCAGAGUCCUCAACUUCGGCCCCGACAAGCUCCCGCCCUCGCAGUCCAUCCUUCUGCAGCAGAAGGAUGUCUGGAGGCCUUCCUCCAGCUCGUAACUUCGAUGUCAGGUUACGAGAUUUUGUGGAGUGCCUCGUCACUGAAAGUCUCUCUAUGGGCGACCAGUUUCGAGUAGUCUACAAAUGUAUUUGAAUAUUAUAUAUUCGGGAAUAUUUAUAACUUAAUUUAUAUUUUAUAUUUUUUAAUACUUUCUCCUACAUUUCUACAUAUGUGUAGUUGUAGAAAAUAAAUAGAUUUUAUCAUUCUA